This 720-nucleotide ribosomal RNA is filed under the name uncultured archaeon. Its description in RNAcentral is "bacterial SSU rRNA". It matches the Rfam family "Archaeal small subunit ribosomal RNA", at positions 547 to 1288 of the family's 1478-position model. The record is from RNAcentral.
AAAUCUGGAAUCUCAAGUUUCAGGCGUGCAAGAGAAACUGCCAAGCUAGAGACCGGGAGACGUAAGGAGUACGGUUAGGGUAGCGGUAAAAUGCGUUGAUCCUUACUGGACUAACGAUAGCGAAGGCACCUUACGAGAACGGAUCUGACAGUGAGGGAUGAAGGCUAGGGGCGCAAAACGGAUUAGAUACCCGUGUAGUCCUAGCAGUAAACACUGCACACUAAACAUCGGUACCUCCUCGAGAGGUAUCGGUGCUGCAGGGAAGCCGUAGAGUGUGCUACCUGGGAAGUACAGUCGCAAGACCGAAACUUAAAGGAAUAGGCGGCGGGAUACUACAACCAGUGACGCGUGCGGUUUAAUUAGAUUCUACACCGUGAACCUCACCAGGGUCGACAGCAGAAUGAAGGUCAGUCUGAAGGGCUUACCUGACACGCUGAGAGGAGAUGCAUGGCCGACGUCAGCCUGUGUCGUGAGAUGAUCUGUUAAAUCAGUUAACAGGCGAGAUCCGCGUAUACAUUUGCAUGAACAAUGUAUAGACUGCCUUGGCAACAAGGAGGAAGGUGCGGGCAACGUUAGGUGAGUACGUCCCGAAUACCCUGGGCUACACGCGCGCGGCAAUGCUGUCUUCAAAGGGCUGCGACACCGAAAGGUGAAGCUAAUCUCAUAAAUGACAGCUUAGUUCAGAUUGUGGGUUGCAACUCACCCACAUGACGCUGGAAU